This 230-nucleotide long non-coding RNA is filed under the name Carica papaya (papaya). Its description in RNAcentral is "long non-coding RNA (CPAP_LNC008510)". Lineage: Eukaryota; Viridiplantae; Streptophyta; Magnoliopsida; Brassicales; Caricaceae. The record is from RNAcentral.
CGUACAGCAGAUACGGGACAUGUGCACAGUGCACACGUCCCAUCCGCAUGCACAAUGCAUGCAUCCCAUCCGCAUGUACGCACGCACGGAAGUAGUCGUGUCGUGCGCAGCAGGCCGUCCGUGCGUCACCUUGCGCUUGAACAGCGAUGCGCAUUGUUCGUGCGCCAUUCGUGCAGCAGGCCUGUGUAGAUAGGCCUUGUGCGCCUGGGGCCUACGUGCAGUAGGCCUGC